Microcebus murinus (gray mouse lemur) is the source of this 1284-nucleotide non-coding RNA. NCBI's taxonomy places the organism in Eukaryota, Metazoa, Chordata, Mammalia, Primates, Cheirogaleidae. The record is from RefSeq and is a predicted model, not a curated record.
CCCUGCUGUCAGGCCCAAGGGAAGUUCGGAUGCCUUUCCCAGAGGAGGAAGGGAAAGUGCGGAACAAACAGCAAAUCCCAGCAAGGGCCCGCUGCAGGCACCUGCCUGCACCUUGACAGGCUGAUGCGGACGCUUCCAGCGCCUGUCUCUCCCUCAUUUCUCACCGGAGAAGACCCAACGAUAUCGAUAUCUUCCUGUAUUUCUCUCCGUGACCUGUGGCCCAAGAAACAGCCUAAUGUUUUUCCUAGUGGAUCUUAAAAACAAACCCUGGAAGGGCCUUUUACCUUUUCCCGGGAUUACGUUGUAAUCCAAACAAAUACGUAAGAAGCAAGAAAACAGAAACGGUGAGAUGAGAGUUUAAUGCAGCGUGUUCCGGGGCCCGAGCGACGUAUCGUUGUCUGUGCAGAUGGCACCGCGUCACGAUGGGUUCGUCUCGGCAUCUCUCCUCUCCUCCCCCAAGCGUCUUUGGCCUCACGGGCCCCUUUCGCAGGAAAACCACUCAACACGCCAGAAAAGCCACGGGUCUGCUCUUCCGUGGGCCGCCCGGAGCAGCGCGGCUCUUAAGCAUGUCGGCGAAGACGGAGACUCAAAGAAGGGCAACCUCAGAGCUGCCUUUGGCUCUUGUACGGGAAUUCCUCACCACGGCCGCCCCUUCCAGGCACGUUGGUGCUGACAAACUCACCGGACUCGGUCACUGUUUUACAGCUUCCUGAGAGACCCCGAGCCAAUCAAAGCAAAGCGCAUGACCGUCCUGAUGUCAGGAUGGCGGCAUCCGCGCCCCAUCUCAGCCCCCUCCCCCCACGCAGUCCCCUGGAGUCCCCUGUGGCUUCUUCUCAACCCCCCGCGGCCGGCAGUCCAUGGGAUAGCCACGCGCUUGUGUCUCUGGGGCUCGCCACCUCCCCGGCUGGGCUUGAACUGCUUGGGGCGGGGACUCACUCCUCAACCACGUAGAUGGCUGUGCGUGGGGCAUCGGGGGGCGUCUCUGUGGGAGCUUGGGUCCUGUUACCCCACUUCCCUCAGCCUUGGCCUUGUCAUCAGUGAAGUGGGGCUGAUGAUUGUCCCCGAUCAGAGGUGCCAUCAUAAUUUUUAUUUUAGAGAUGAGGACUUGGCUCACUAACCUUUGAUAACCACUGCCUUAGUUGUCGGUAAGUCAUUCAUCUAUCCCUAAACCGUCCAUCGAUCCAUCCAUCCAUUUGUCUUCCUUCCAUCCAACCAGCAAACAUCCACCCAUCCGGCAGCCACUAGGCAUCUCCAGGAGGUGGGGAAAGGCCACAAACUGAUGCC